This 484-nucleotide ribosomal RNA is filed under the name uncultured bacterium. RNAcentral's name for it is "partial 16S ribosomal RNA". It matches the Rfam family "Bacterial small subunit ribosomal RNA", at positions 28 to 507 of the family's 1533-position model. The record is from RNAcentral.
AUUGAACGCUGGCGGCAUGCUUUACACAUGCAAGUCGAACGGCAGCGCGGGCUUCGGCCUGGCGGCGAGUGGCGAACGGGUGAGUAAUGCAUCGGAACGUGCCCAGUAGUGGGGGAUAGCCCGGCGAAAGCCGGAUUAAUACCGCAUACGACCUGAGGGUGAAAGCGGGGGACCGAAAGGCCUCGCGCUAUUGGAGCGGCCGAUGUCGGAUUAGCUAGUUGGUGGGGUAAAGGCUUACCAAGGCGACGAUCCGUAGCUGGUCUGAGAGGACGACCAGCCACUCUGGGACUGAGACACGGCCCAGACUCCUACGGGAGGCAGCAGUGGGGAAUUUUGGACAAUGGGGGCAACCCUGAUCCAGCCAUGCCGCGUGCGGGAAGAAGGCCUUCGGGUUGUAAACCGCUUUUGUUCGGGAAGAAAUCCUCUGGGCUAAUACCCCGGGGGGAUGACGGUACCGGAAGAAUAAGCACCGGCUAACUACGUG